CAACGUCUAGAGAGAGACUGUGUCCUCCUGGCCCACUGCCUUCUUCUAAAGGCCAGCUGGGCCCUGACUGGGGCAUGGCCGCAGCUGUGGCUGUUUCCCCAGUCAGCCGAGGCUGGCUGCUUUCCCUAGCAGCAGCCCUCUUGCAGCCUCAGCCCUCUCCCAGGGCUGAUUUCAAGCCCUUCAGGGCAGGAGUGGGUGACCACCCCACUGCAGUCUAGAAAAGACUUUAUUCACAGACAUGGGAAGAGAGAUGGCAAGGGUCUGGUGACUCAGAAUAAUGGCUAAGAAAAAGCGAAUGAGCUGGUCGUAAAUCCCAGAACUCAUCAUUACCCCAUGCAGUUCAUUGCUACUGGAUAGCAUGGAGGCCAAGCAAUCAGUAAGAUUUGAGAAGGGAUUCUCCAGCUAUACAUGUAAUGGGAACAGCCACUGUUAUAUGGGCGAUAAACCUUUGUGCUUCAGGGUAUAAGCCAACCUCUCACUGAAGGUGUUAAAAAGAAACUCUGUGUAGGGGCAGGUUAUUCUGUAAUAGUCCAAUGUGAGGUUUCUUGUACCUUACUCUGAAACAGCUGGUAUGAGACAAGGUACUGGAUGAAAUG
Molecule: long non-coding RNA, 596 nt
Organism: Dermochelys coriacea (leatherback sea turtle)
Lineage: Eukaryota; Metazoa; Chordata; Testudines; Dermochelyidae
Exons: 3
Source: RefSeq, a predicted model, not a curated record